CGGACGGGUGAGUAACACGUGGAUAACCUACCUAUAAGACUGGGAUAACUUCGGGAAACCGGAGCUAAUACCGGAUAAUAUAUUGAACCGCAUGGUUCAAUAGUGGAAGACGGUUUUGCUGUCACUUAUAGAUGGAUCCGCGCCGCAUUAGCUAGUUGGUAAGGUAACGGCUUACCAAGGCAACGAUGCGUAGCCGACCUGAGAGGGUGAUCGGCCACACUGGAACUGAGACACGGUCCAG
RNAcentral lists this ribosomal RNA (241 nucleotides) under uncultured Staphylococcus sp. Its description in RNAcentral is "partial 16S ribosomal RNA". It matches the Rfam family "Bacterial small subunit ribosomal RNA", at positions 99 to 334 of the family's 1533-position model. The record is from RNAcentral. Lineage: Bacteria; Bacillati; Bacillota; Bacilli; Caryophanales; Staphylococcaceae.